GGGGGCGACUGGUUUCGACGAGAUAUGAGAUAGGUUAAAUGGCAUGUUGAGGCUCCGUAACCUCAUAAAUCAUGCGGAACAUCUUAUAAGUGCCGAUUACGGCCAAGUUGCUUACGCUUAAUUGACGUAGGCCGUCCUAGGUAAAAUGUGUCUGUGGUUUUAUCUGAGGGCGUCGACUACACGGACUGGUUUCUAAUUGUGUCCGUAAAUUAGAAAUGAGACCUAACGGGCUAGUUUCAAAGACAUGGGGUUUCCCGGCAUUCUUUGAAAUGAAAUAAACCUGGGAGACUAAACAUGUAGAAGUUUUUCAAGUCUUUAUUUCGGACGGGAGUUCGAUUCUCCCCGCCUCCACUU
RNAcentral lists this transfer-messenger RNA (354 nucleotides) under Fidelibacterota bacterium. It matches the Rfam family "transfer-messenger RNA". From Rfam's summary of the family: Bacterial tmRNA, also known as 10Sa RNA or SsrA, is named for its dual tRNA and mRNA-like properties. Its role is to liberate the mRNA from a stalled ribosome. Lineage: Bacteria; Pseudomonadati; Fidelibacterota. The record is from RNAcentral.